GCUCUCUUGGUGGAACUGGUAGACACUCGAGACUUAAAAUCUCGUGGCCCUAGGCCGUGCCGGUUCGAGUCCGGCAGAGAGCACCA
This 86-nucleotide transfer RNA is filed under the name Hyphomicrobiales bacterium. RNAcentral's name for it is "tRNA-Leu". It matches the Rfam family "tRNA". From Rfam's summary of the family: Transfer RNA (tRNA) molecules are approximately 80 nucleotides in length. Their secondary structure includes four short double-helical elements and three loops (D, anti-codon, and T loops). The record is from RNAcentral. Lineage: Bacteria; Pseudomonadati; Pseudomonadota; Alphaproteobacteria; Hyphomicrobiales.